GGGGAAUGUAUAGCGAAAGCUAGUUGUAUUAACUAUUAGUUAAUGCAAAAUCGAUUAUGUCGAAUAAAGUUCUAGGUAGAAUAAUGAUUAUGACAAUUUUCUACCUAUAUGUCUUGACCAAACCUCGUGCCAGCAGUCGCGGUAAUACGUGGAAGACUAGUGUUAUUCAUCUUUAAUAGGUUUAAAGGGUACCUAGACGGUUUUUCUAGCCCAAAAUAGGGUACAGAUUUACUAGAGUUUUAUGUGAGGAGGGGAGUACUUAUGGAGUUAGAGAUGAAAUUCUGUCAUACUAUAAGGAAACUGGUGGCGGCGUAAGCAACCUUCUAAGUAUAAACUGACGUUGAGGGACGAAGGCUUGGGUAGCAAAUAGGAUUAGAUACCCUAGUAGUCCAAGCAGACAAUCCUGAAUGCCAUAGAUUAGAUUAUUUUUGGUCUAUAAAUGAAAGUGUAAGCAUUCCACCUCAAGAGUAAUGUGGCAACACAGGAACUGAAAUCAUUAGACCGUUUCUGAAACCAGUAGUGAAGUAUGUUAUUUAAUUCGAUGAUCCGCGAAAAACCUCACCACAAUUUGAAUAUUAUUAAAAUAAUACAAGCGUUGCACGGCUGUCUUCAGUUAAUGUCGUGAGAUUUUGGUUAAUUCCAUU
Molecule: ribosomal RNA, 644 nt
Filed under: Myriospora smaragdula
Lineage: Eukaryota; Fungi; Ascomycota; Lecanoromycetes; Acarosporales; Acarosporaceae
Description: SSU rRNA
Rfam family: Bacterial small subunit ribosomal RNA
Source: RNAcentral